RNAcentral lists this long non-coding RNA (632 nucleotides) under Ananas comosus (pineapple). RNAcentral describes it as "long non-coding RNA (ACOM_LNC019338)". Lineage: Eukaryota; Viridiplantae; Streptophyta; Magnoliopsida; Poales; Bromeliaceae. The record is from RNAcentral.
AAUGGGCAGAGCUUGUUGCUAUGAUAUUUGUUAGACAUGACAAUGGAUGACAGCAUUCAAAGUGCCUCUCAUUAUGGAUGCAAUAAUAUUUUCAAAAUAAUAAAUGAAAAUAAUUUGAUCACUUCGCCCUCUCAUGAUAACAGUUGGAUAUAUUUUUAAAAUUUUAAAUAGAUAAAAAAUAAAAUUUUAAAUAUUUUAAAAAAUUAAACAAAAUAUUUAUAUAGAUUUUUUUACGGUACCUUAGCCUAUAUUAUAGAGCUUAUAAUUGCAAAAUUAAUUAGUCCUAUUCCCGCCGGACAAGUACCAUAUAAGCGCUACGUCAGUGACUGUGGAAGGUUAAGUUGAACACGGUGAAAUGGUUCAUCAUGUUUAAAUACGGUAAAUUAUUUAUUAUAUUUGGACGGACUGAAUAGUAGCUAACCGGCAAUACAAAAAGAACUCGAACAGUCAUGCAGUGUAUUUUAGUUUAAACACGAUAAAUCAUGUUUAACUUAUACCAGUCAACAGUUGAUGUAACGUUUGCGUUACGAAAAUAGAACUAAUUUUAUAAUUAUAAAUUUUAUAAAAUUAUUUAUGAAUAAAAUUUUGUGAGGGGCUAAAUACAAAAAAGAGCCCUAUAUUUUAUGAUCCAG